CGUGUGUCCCAGCAGGAGAGGAGGGACUGUAGUGAUAGGAACACAACUUGGACGCGCCACUGGGAACAACAUCUGUUCAGCCCAUUUUAUGACCAAACAGUGGAAAUGAUCUUCACUGGCAGGGACACUGAUCAGGGAGAACAUACUGAAUGAUUCAAGAGCUGGACAGGAGGACCUGAAUAGUGCAAGCAUCUCCCUGCAUCAGACAUGAGUCUACAGAGAGAGAGAGAGAGAGACAACACAUGAUUGGAUCACACCAUGCUACGAAAGUCCUCCAGCCAAUCACAAACCUGCAAUUCAGUCCAUACAUGGCAUGAGUAGGGGUGGACUGUGCGGGGGUGGAGGUGGAUGUGGAGGCCUAAAUGCCGGGCGUCGACCCACUGACGGAAUUAUUUCCAGCCCUUUCUACUUGCCCAUGUUCUUUCUUUCUCUCUCUCUCUCUCUCUCUCUCCUUUCCAAAGAGUGUCACCCUCUGUUGAUCAUACUGUAGGAGAUAAAUGUUUCUGACCUGUGUUGCCAAAGUUGGAGAAAGAAAUUAUUAUUUAUUCCAUCUUUUUCCAAUUUAAAUAAGAGAAGAAAAUGUCAGUAAGUGAACUGAAUCCCGUCUAUGCAUGAGGCUCUUUGACAGUUACAAACUGCUGUACGAUAAGUGCAAGAAAAUAAAAGGAUUUUCCCAAAUGAAAUAUCAGAAAUCACAUUCCCAGCAGCUGUUGGAUACUAGUUUUUACUGCUAAGAUUAAUGUAGAAAAUGUAUGCCAGAGC
Seriola aureovittata is the source of this 762-nucleotide long non-coding RNA. RefSeq lists it as uncharacterized. The record is from RefSeq and is a predicted model, not a curated record. Lineage: Eukaryota; Metazoa; Chordata; Actinopteri; Carangiformes; Carangidae. The transcript has 3 exons.